Molecule: ribosomal RNA, 753 nt
Filed under: uncultured bacterium
Lineage: Bacteria
Description: bacterial SSU rRNA
Rfam family: Bacterial small subunit ribosomal RNA
Source: RNAcentral
AGAGUUUGAUCCUGGCUCAGGACGAACGCUGGCGGCGUGCUUAACACAUGCAAGUCGCGCGAUUCUCGAAGUUCGGGGUUGGGAGUUCGAACCUCGAACUUCGAACCUCGAACUUCGAGAAUAGCGGCGGACGGGUGAGUAACACGUGGAUAACCUACCCAUUAGACCGGGAUAACACCGGGAAACUGGUGCUAAUACCGGAUAAGCUCUUUAGAGUAAAAGCCUUAAAGAGGAAAGGGGAAACUCACUAAUGGAUGGGUCCGCGUCCUAUUAGCUAGUUGGUAGGGUAACGGCCUACCAAGGCGACGAUGGGUAGCCGGCCUGAGAGGGUGACCGGCCACACUGGGACUGAGACACGGCCCAGACUCCUACGGGAGGCAGCAGUGGGGAAUAUUCCGCAAUGGGGGAAACCCUGACGGAGCAAUGCCGCGUGAGUGAAGAAGGCCUUUGGGUCGUAAAACUCUGUCUUGAGGGACGAAAAAAAUGACGGUACCUCAAAAGAAAGCCCCGGCUAACUACGUGCCAGCAGCCGCGGUAAAACGUAGGGGGCGAGCGUUGUCCGGAAUUACUGGGCGUAAAGGGCGUGUAGGCGGCCUGUGUAGUCAAGUGGUGAAAAACCCGGGGCUUAACUUCGGGAUGGCCCUUGAAACCAACAGGCUUGAGGACAGGAGAGGGGAGUGGAAUUUCCGGUGUAGCGGUGAAAUGCGUAGAUACCGGAAGGAACACCAGUGGCGAAGGCGGCUCCCUGGACUG